AGACUUCUGAAUGGAAAAUAACUUCAUGUCAACAUAGUAUAAUAGACUUGCAGGGCCAGCGCGUUGUGCAACAAGAUCACAUAGGGUAAUAAGAUUGGGACAGGGUUAAGGACUUCUGUCCUCACUGUGAGUUGUGUUGGGGGUGUUGUAUGUGUGCAGGG
Non-coding RNA from Notechis scutatus (mainland tiger snake), 161 nucleotides. NCBI's taxonomy places the organism in Eukaryota, Metazoa, Chordata, Lepidosauria, Squamata, Elapidae. The record is from RefSeq and is a predicted model, not a curated record.